AACCUGGCCCAUACAGGGGGAUAACACUUAGAAAUAGGUGCUAAUACCGCAUAACAACAGAAAGCGCAUGCUUUUUGUUUGAAAACCAAGGUGGUAUGGGAUGGACCCGCGUCUGAUUAGCUGGUUGGCGGGGUAAAGGCCCACCAAGGCGACGAUCAGUAGCCGGCCUGAGAGGGUGGACGGCCACAUUGGGACUGAGACACGGCCCAAACUCCUACGGGAGGCAGCAGUGGGGAAUAUUGCACAAUGGGGGAAACCCUGAUGCAGCGACGCCGCGUGAGUGAAGAAGUAAUUCGUUAUGUAAAGCUCUAUCAGCAGGGAAGAAAAUGACGGUACCUGAGUAAGAAGCCCCGGCUAACUACGUGCCAGCAGCCGCGGUAAUACGUAGGGGGCAAGCGUUAUCCGGAUUUACUGGGUGUAAAGGGAGCGUAGACGGCGAUGCAAGUCUGAAGUGAAAGGCGGGGGCCCAACCCCCGGACUGCUUUGGAAACUGUAUGGCUGGAGUGCAGGAGAGGUAAGUGGAAUUCCUAGUGUAGCGGUGAAAUGCGUAGAUAUUAGGAGGAACACCGGCGGCGAAGGCGGCCUGCUGGACCGCGACUGACGUUGAGGCUCGAAAGCGUGGGGAGCGAACAGGAUUAGAUACCCUGGUAGUCCACGCCGUAAACGAUGACUACUAGGUGU
RNAcentral lists this ribosomal RNA (681 nucleotides) under uncultured bacterium. Its description in RNAcentral is "bacterial SSU rRNA". It matches the Rfam family "Bacterial small subunit ribosomal RNA", at positions 123 to 823 of the family's 1533-position model. The record is from RNAcentral.